UAUUGAUUUUGUUUUCAGUUGCCAUGUAGUUCCACAUAUAGUUUCAUUGGUUACUUGUCCUACCUGGAAUAAUUUUAUUGGUUACUUGUCCUCCAUGUAGUUCCAUAUAUAGUUGUAAUUCCUGACUAGAAUCUGGAUUGUUCCUAGAGUAUUAUUGCUGCCAUUAGUUCCUAAUUGCACAACUAUACCCUUUUGUUUCUCUAUCUUCUUAAUUGAAUAAUUUUUGUAUAGGCUGUUAAAAAGGGUCGAGAUCCAACACCAAGUGAGUUGCAUUUGCACGUCCAUACUCAUGGUAAUGAUGAAAAAUCUUUUGUUGCUGAGAAAUCCUGAAUCGUACAUGAAAAAUAUCAGUAGAUAUUACAACAACAAACACAAACUCAAUCUGAUAUUGAUCAGUAUAAAGCAUAUUAUCAAGCCGCCGGAGGAGAAAAGAAAAGAAGAGUAUAUGGCCUUGGAUCGCAAGUAAAAUGCUACUACGGGCCAAAUCUUCUUGGCUCUCUUGGAUCUGAUGCUAUAUCGUCAACAACACGUCCAAAUUCUCAAUAAACACCGAUAGGGAAUCUGGAUGAGUUAGUGAUGCGAUUGAUUCGUGCACUGACAGAUCAUAUAGUUCCUGUAAUCGUUGAGCGGGUACGCAAAUUAGUUUCCUUACCCUCGCAUCAUCCAAAUACUAAUAUAGCACCUAUAGUUCCAACAUCUUCUACUGCUAAUAUUGAUGAGGUUCAUGCAUUGGGUUCUGAUGAUGACCGUAACUCUCCAGCCUAAUAUAGUUACCUUACUUUGUUUGGACAUUAUUGUUCGUCCUUGUGGAUUUUUUGUACUUAAUGAUACUGUUAUAUGCAUUAUGCUAUAUAUUUUGGACCUUGUUGAA
Molecule: non-coding RNA, 871 nt
Organism: Nicotiana tabacum (common tobacco)
Lineage: Eukaryota; Viridiplantae; Streptophyta; Magnoliopsida; Solanales; Solanaceae
Source: RefSeq, a predicted model, not a curated record